Molecule: ribosomal RNA, 465 nt
Filed under: uncultured bacterium
Lineage: Bacteria
Description: partial 16S ribosomal RNA
Rfam family: Bacterial small subunit ribosomal RNA
Source: RNAcentral
GACGAACGCUGGCGGCGUGCUUAACACAUGCAAGUCGUACGGUAAGGCCCUUUCGGGGGUCCACGAGUGGCGAACGGGUGAGUAACACGUGAGUAACCUGCCCACAACUUUGGGAUAACGCUAGGAAACUGGUGCUAAUACUGGAUAUGUGCUCCUGCUGCAUGGUGGGGGUUGGAAAGCUCCGGCGGUUGUGGAUGGACUCGCGGCCUAUCAGCUUGUUGGUGGGGUAGUGGCCUACCAAGGCGGCGACGGGUAGCCGGCCUGAGAGGGUGACCGGCCACAUUGGGACUGAGAUACGGCCCAGACUCCUACGGGAGGCAGCGGUGGGGAAUAUUGCACAAUGGGCGCAAGCCUGAUGCAGCAACGCCGCGUGCGGGAUGACGGCCUUCGGGUUGUAAACCGCUUUCAGCAGGGACGAAGCUUUUUGUGACGGUACCUGCAGAAGAAGCACCGGCUAACUACGUG